CGCAUGAUAACAAUAGCAUUGCGCGAAUAAAGUUAAGUAGUACCGACUUCAAACACUGAUUUAAAAAAAAAAACUACAGGAUUGCAAAUGGAGAACUUUUGACAUUUACCUCAGGAACAAUAUAUCUUUGUAACUGAGUAAAAAGAUUGUAGAGCCCCAUAUGUCGGAACGGGAUGAAACGAUACGGCGUUCACCUUUCGGCCUCUUAAUGUGUGUGAUGUGGCUGAAGCAGAAGUGGAACAGGCCCUCUCCUCCAGCCCACUGUUAGUUUAUUCUAUACUUGUUUUUUUUCUGUAUCAGUUCUAUAUUCUACUGAAAAACUUGGAUUAGCACCUUUGUUCAAAUUUGAUGUGUGAAUAUUGAAUUGUACCCGAAAGGGAAACUGGGUAAGAUCGGCUUUAACAAGUAAACGAAGAAUAAAAGAAAAAAAAAAACAAAAAAACUGCACACACAUCAAACAGGAAACAGUUCACAGGCGGAGCCACAUUUCACAGAACACAGAUCAUUUCCCAGAAAUGAAAGUGAAAGUAGUUGUCAGUGUGAGCAGAGCUGCAGACGAGUGUGUGGAAGCUCCAACAAACCUUAAACCCACUGCAACACAUCUGCUUCAAGUGUCAUCUAAGGUUCUUGGGUGGAAACAGUCCACAGUGGAGCUCAGUGGAAGCGGUCCAGUCCCACCUGUGUGCUUCUGAAGCCUGGGUCCCUUCAGUCCCAAGGACAUUCAACUACAACUGUGGACUUUGUGCAGGAAGAUGAAAGUGUUGGUGGUGGUUGGGCUCCUCAUCCACGUUUCCCAGCAUGCACUGGCUGUAGUGGUGCAGGCGUAUGAGGGGAUGGAGUCGGUCCUGCUGCCCUACCAGCAUUCUGGCGGGUUCCCGAACAUUCCCUUUUCAGUGGUUUGGAAACGCUCUGAUCUGAACCAAACAGUUAUUCACCGGCUUGAAUACAUGAGUGGUGGCUGUCUGAAAGAGGAAUACCGACACAGUGAGCGCACGUAUAUGAAGCCCAACGCACAGAAAUCUGGAGACUUCAGCCUCACUGUGAAGAAACCACAACUGUCUGACAGCAGCAGCUACACCUGUAACCUCCAAUGGGAAACAGAGAGGGGCGAGCCAAAAGAAGAGAAACGGACAGAAGUACAGCUGCAGGUCAAAGAUGACCAGGAGGAGGUGGAGGUCCAGCAGGGGGCGAAGUCUAUCCAGCUGCCUUGUAAAGCUUCAGCCGAUCUGCCUGAAGACACCACAGUGGACUGGACUCACUUUGAUCCACAACUGAUGUUGGUCCACGUGUCCCGGAGUAAAACUGAUGAUCUUCAAACACAGGACAGGUCUUACCGUGGCCGCACACAGAUGAAUGAAGACAUGAGUCUGACUGUGAAAAAGCCCACAGACACAGACGGAGGUGUGUAUAUCUGCACCGUCUACAGGGAAGGAGACGUCCUGAGGUCUAAAGUCCUGCUCCAGGUGGUCCCAGGUCGUUCAGCCUGGGCCACAGCUUUCUGGGUUGUCGUUCCUGUUCUUCUAAUCGCUCUAAUCACUCUAGGACUUUUCUUUAUUUUCCGAGGGUAUUUUCCUUCAGUCCAACUGGUGGAGGUGGAUUCAGAGGAGGAGUCUGUCCUGCUGCCAUGUCAAACUAUAGCUCACCUGACAAAGAACUCCAGAAAUAUGAGCGUUAUGUGGAAGAACUUACACAACCAACAGAUCCUUGUGCAUAAGUACGGCUCUGGAGAACCUGAUGAACAGGACCAGGAUUACACAGACAGAACAGAGAUGAAGAAACACUGGCUGAGAACUGGAGACUUCAGUUUAACCCUGAAACACCCAACGGACCGGGACACCAACGAAUACUUAUGCACCAUCUACAACAAAGACAAGGUCCUGAAGGAGAAACGAGUGGUGCUGAAGGUCAGAGUCCAACAGGUGGAGGUGGAUUCAGGGGACGAGUCUGUCCUGCUGCCCUGGAAAACCACAUUAUAUAUAGAGGAUGUCAGUCAGCUCACAGUGGAGUGGACGGACUAUUGGGACAGGAAGGUCCAUGUGUAUGAGGACGGCUCUGACAGAACUAAUGAACAGAACUAUAGAUACAGAAACAGAACAGAGAUGAAAGAAGACCCACUGAGAACUGGAGACCUCAGUCUGACCCUGAAACACCCCACAGACUGGGACACUGACACCUACACCUGCACCGUCUACAACAGAGACAAGCAGAUCCUGAGGAGGAAACGAGUGUUUCUGAAGGUCAAAGUCCAACAGGUGGAGGUGGAUUCAGAGGAGGAGUCUGUCCUGCUGCCCUGGAAAACCACAUUACAUAUAGAGGACGUCAGUCAGCUCACAGUGGAGUGGACGGACCGUUAUAACAGGAAGGUCCAUGUGUAUGAGGACGGCUCUGACAGAACUAAUGAACAGAACGAAAUAUACAGAAACAGAACAGAGAUGAAAGAAGACCCACUGAGAACUGGAGACCUCAGUCUGACCCUGAAACACCCCACAGACUGGGACACUAACACCUACACCUGCACCGUCUACAACAGAGACAAGCAGAUCCUGAGGAGGAAACAAGUGGAUCUGAAGGUCAAAGUUCAACAGGUGGAGGUGGAGGAGGGGGCGUGGUCAGCCCUGCUGCCCUUCAGAACGACCCCUGACCUGCCUCAGGACGCCAGAGUGGAGUGGAGGUACCAUACUAAUGACCGGAAAUACAUACAUGUCCAUGUGUCUGAGAAGAAGUCAGCUCAACCUGGUGAACAGGACGACAGAUACAGAAACAGAACAAAGAUGAAUGAAGACCCAUGGACGACUGGAGACUGCAGUCUGACCCUGAAUGACCUCCAACAGGACGACUCUGGAACAUAUGUAUGUGUAGUCAUCAGAGAUGAAGUCACCCUGAGAGGGAAAAGAGUGGAGCUGAAGGUCAAAGGUCAGAGUUCAGAUGCAGGUCAGAGGUCAGGUGUGUCUCUGUCCUCUGUCUCCUCUGCAGACAGAUCUCAGAUCAUAUAUCAGGUUCUUCCAAUAAGAGAAGAUGCAGAAGCUGAAGCAGCUGUUUGAUUGAUCUGUUGUGUGUGUGUUUGUGUUUGUCCAGUCCAACUCCUAAACUGAGGCUUGAUCUUAUUCCUCUUGAAUAUAUGAAACAGGUCAAUACAAUAGAAAUACACACACUUCAAAGCACUCAGACUGUGCUUUUCCACUCUUCAUUAUUGUAUUUCUAGUGUUUGUUUCUCUGUGAUGACAGUCUGUCCUCCAAACCAAAGAAAAUCCAAACUAUCAAAUCCAAACUUUCAGCUGCUACCAAAAGUAUUUUAGUUUAGUUUGUAUCGUGGACAAUACCAGAUAAUGAACUGUAUCAAUAAGAGUGAAAAGUUGCAGCUUUAGCCGACAUGUCUAUAAUCCUGCUGUAGUCCUCAGCCUGACGACAAUAGGAACCCUAAAAAAACAAUAGAUUACAGCAGAGUAAUUAAAAAGAAAGACUUCAGACAGCUAAGAGACCAGAUCCAUCAGUACAGAUAAACAGACUGUGGUGGACACAGCCACACAUGGGAACAUCUGUACAAACUAGAGCCCGGACCAUUAAUGGGGCCGAUUAUAGUGUAUCAGCAAUUAAUCAACAUCGGCCAAUAUGUAGCCGAUAUAUGAACUGUUUUUGCUGCACAGAGAUUCUGUGGCUUGCUGCUCCUGUGUGUGUGUGUGUGUGUGUGUGUGUGUGUGUGUGUGUGUGUGCUGCCCAGAGAAUCAGAGGAACUUUAAAGCGGGUUAGUUUCACUUUCACUCCUGCUCGGACAAUGACGCUAUCACCCCCCCACACACCAUCACAUAAUCACGGAGCAACCCCCCACCCCCCCACCCCCCGCGCACGCUCUGACAAGGAUGGACUGCUCCUCCCACCACCACCACAGCACUCCGACCCCCCCACCCCGGCGAAAAUCAUGGACCGCUACCGCACACUCUAACGAGGAUAGACCACUGAACCCCCCCCGUCUUAUGAAGUAUUCACCCCCCCACACACACCCCCAUGUCCGUGCACUUCCUGUCUCCCUCACAGUUUCAUUCUGCAGACAGGCCUGGCUUUUAACAGUGUAGGGGAGACUGGGGACAGUUGGCACACAGGUCGGUUGUAACUCUUGCAGUUCGUCCAAUCAGGAACAACUCAGGACUCGCCUAAUUCACUCUGCACAUGCUCAGUUUAGUCCUUAGUCCACAUGGGCAGUUGUAGUGUCGUGAGGCAGACACAUCAAUAUUUGUGAGUGAAAACAGAAUUGUGUGCUCAGUCAUAUUUUUUACUCUAAUUAUUUUUGUGAUCGCAUAGUUUGCAUUUGAACGUUGUGUCAAUUAUAUUUGUCAGAUAAACACAGAUUUAUGCAACUGUUUAUCCACCUGUCCACAAUUAUCUAAUAUCAGAUUAUUAUAUCCUGUGGAGAUCAGUGUUCUUAUUUCAUAUAUCGGCUAAUAUAUCGGUUAUCGGCCAAUAUUGGAUGUUGGCCGAAAUAUUGGAUAUCUGCUUUUUUUAAGCCCCCAAUAUCGGUAUCGGCCCCAAAAAUCCCAUAUUAGGCCGCAAGGUGAACGCCGUAUCGUUUCAUCCCGUUCCAACAUAUGGGGCACUACAAUCUUUUUACUCAGUUACAAAGAUAUAUUGUUCCUGAGCUAAAUGUCAAACGUUCUCCAUUUGCAAUCCUACAGUUUUUUUUAAAUCAGUGUUUGAAGUCGGUACUACUUAACUUUAUUCGCGCAAUGCUAUUGUUAUCAUGCGUGCUGCGGUUUGAGUCACGUGUAACCUGCUGGUCCAAUCAGAAAGCGCAAAACAUCCAAGAUGGCUGCGACCAGGAAGCGAGCUUCCUGUAGUUCAGAGGAGGAAAAUACAACGAAAAGUUUUAAAAAGCCAGCAAAAAUAUAGAAUAUACACCUCAUAUCCGUAAAAAAAGAAAAAAUACAGGAUUUUUCGGCCAAACGAUGGGAAACGUUAAGAAACUGUGUCGAACGAUGGCUUUAUUUGAGUGGUGAGAGCAGGAGUAUAACUGAAACUGAUAAACACUAUCACUACUGACUCUGACAAUGUUCCAGAAGAUGCUGGGUUUCAUGCAACAUGCUACAGACGAUUCAUUGAUAAAAAAAACAAAAAACGAUUGGAUUCCGCGGAGAAACAUAAAAGAGAGAAUUCAGAUGUCAGUGAAUCACAGGGAGGUGAGUCUGUGCAGCAGCACCGCAGGAUCAACAAGGGAAACUCUGAGGAAGAAAUAACGGUCCAGGAUGGAUCUACCUACUGUUUCAUCUGGUCCUGUUCUGUCCAGGAUGGGUCUACCUACUGUUUCAUCUGGUCCUGUUCUGUCCAGGAUGGGUCUACCUACUGUUUCAUCUGGUCCUGUUCUGUCUGCCUUAUGCAUAAUAUGUAAAAAAAAAAAAAAAAAAAAAAAAAAAAAAGUGGAUAAAUACAUCAUGGCAAAUGCACAAAGGAUCAUCUUUCACUGGCACAGACGUCAUCAGCAGCUGUGUAAAAAAAAAUAUAUAUAUCUGUCUCUCACACUCACACACAAAUACUGUAUAUAAGGAAGUGUGCAAGUUUAUUCUAUUCUCUACUACUGCUAUUACUACUAUUAUUACUGCUACUACUAUUACAUCUAUUACUACUAUUACUGAUCAUAACUCAUUCUCUCUCACACACAGUGCUGCUUGCAGCUUUGUGAAACUAGGUGUGUGUGUGUUUCAGAAAUGAGCCGCCUUCAGUGUCAGCUACCAGAUCUUCUGUUCUGUGAGCAGAUCAUCAGGCAAAGAAUUAUUAUUACUGUGAACCUCCACCAAACAUUCAUACACCAGAGUGAGUGGCACUGGGUGAAGUGUCUUGCCCUAGAACACAAUGGACUGACUAGGACAGAGCGGGAUUCGAACCGACGACCCUUCGGUUAUUGGACGACCUGCUCUACCAUCUGAGCCAUGGCCACCCAGUCUUACUGACAGUGUGUCAUUAUUGCUCCUUGGUAGUUUGCCCUGUCCGUGCCUCCAACAUGUGAUGCUCUACACCAACACUGCAAAAGGACAAACUACCAAACAGCAAUAAUGACACACUGUCUGAAAGGUAUUCUGUGUGCACCCUCACCCACUGGUAGUGGAUGGCACACUGAGGAUGGGGAGUCAACAGUGACCUGGAGGACUAAAAAUCCUGCUCCUCAAAGUGUUUUGCAGUUCGUCCACUGCACUUGGAAACAAGGCAAAUAAAAUGUGAUACAGACAGGUGUUCUGUAUGUCAGCAAGACUGUCUUUCACUGAUGUGUGUAGGUGGCAGCACUGUGUGAAUGUUCAGAAGGAAACAGGAGAUAGAGCUGCAUGGGAUGGUGUUUCUGACAGUGAUGGGGAUGAUUAGACAUGUUAUAGAACCAGGAAAUAUCCUCUAAAAAAAGCAUCCAUUGAACAAAAAUAAAAGUUUACAGUGUACUGUGUAUAUUAAAAACAUGUAUUGUUACAUGACAAACGAAUCAUUGUUAAAAGAAGAAAAGAAACCCUGCAACUGUAAACACUGUAAAUGUCAAACAAUGCUGUUACACUGAUGUAUGUGUUUGUGUGUGGCUAAAUUCACCAUGUGUAAUAUGUGAAAUCACUAGAAGCUUUUUCCCACAAAUUUCCAAGAUUUCAUGGUCUACAUUCACAUUGCAUGGUAAUAAUUCAUCAAGACUUGUCUAAAAUGUUAAUAUGUAUAAAUAUCAAUUUGUGAGAGAUUUUGUGUAGCUAAAAUGAAUGUUGAUAAAUAAAACAAGUGAAUCUAGCAUCAUAGAAUUUUCGUUUUUUAAUUUUAUAUUCAUAUAGAUUUUUGGCUUAUGACAAAAAAGUGCAGGAUAUAUUGAUAUAAGAACUUUUAACCCAAAGUCCAUGAGGGUACAGUCUAAACAAACCACUUUUCAUGGUUCACCUUGUGGCCUAUAUCGGUCAAACACACUAUCACCUUAUUAGUUUUCCUGUCUCAUUCUUUCUUUAACUUUGGUGGGCAGCUCAUGGUCUUCAUUUGCAGUCAGUCCUUUAACGUACACCAUGUAGUUUAUUUUGUAUUUCUUUAUUUGAAUGGUCCACUGUUGUAUAGAUGCACAUAUAUGAACAGUGUAGGGGGACCAUUACAUUAUUGAUGUUCUGUUCUGUUAAUCCUUGGUUCCUUUGUUUGAGUUUCCGUGUGGUGGAGUUUCCUGUCACCAUCCUGAUGUGGAAAAAAGGCGUGGCCAAGGGUGGAGCAACAUUAUAUACUGCAGCCACCUCAUCAGCAGAAACUAUGGGCUGUGUUGUCAUGGGGGGGGGGGGGGGGGGGGGGGGUGUAAUGUGCCCAAAGCUUCAGUUGUAUUUAGUUGUAGUUGGUGUCCAUUUUGUUUUGCCCUUGUUUGUUUCAUGCUUUGUCCAAACCUCUAUCCAUGCUCCCACUGAGUCUCAUUUUGGUGGGUCAGUUUUUGUCAGUUGGUUUGAUGCAUCAGUUCUUCUUCUCAGCCUUAGUUGUUAUUAUUUUGUGUACAGUUCUGUUAUGUGGACCUCUUUUGUAUACUUAAUUGUUAAAACUAUCAUUUGUAAUCUUUUUUUUAAAUAAUUUUGGGUGAAUCCAAACCCACAGCUGUCUCCUGGUUGUCUUACUGCUGGGUUUUUAACACAGAUAAAAGAGAACAGUAAAGCAUCAGUCCAGUCCUACAGACAGCACAUCCAAUCCAAACAUACAAAAGCAGCACAUCCAGUAGAAUCCCACAGAAUCCAUCAGCACAGGAUCACAGACACAGAUGGAAACAGACAUCACAUAUGGACACACAGCAUCCAUGACCAUGACACACACACACACACACACACACACACACACACACACACACACACACACACAUAUGUUAGUGUGUACAGGUGUAGAUGUGUACAAACUGUGUUUUUCAUGUGGCUGUAACAGUGCAGUAUGUAUGUGUAUGUGGAAUGUGGGGGGACGUCAGUUCCAGUUUAGUGUUGCUUGAACAGAAUGAGAACUGACCAAAUGUGCUUUUCCUGAAUGGGGCUGAGAAGUCACCCCGUGUGGAGCUUCUGCUGAUCGG
This is a long non-coding RNA of Sphaeramia orbicularis (orbiculate cardinalfish), 8023 nucleotides long. The record is from Ensembl. Lineage: Eukaryota; Metazoa; Chordata; Actinopteri; Kurtiformes; Apogonidae.